GAUGAACGCUAGCUACAGGCUUAACACAUGCAAGUCGAGGGGAAACGAUGAGAGAGCUUGCUCUCUUAGUCGUCGACCGGCGCACGGGUGAGUAACGCGUAUCCAACCUGCCUCUGACCAAGGGAUAACCCGUCGAAAGUCGGACUAAUACCUUAUGCAGUCGUCGGAAGUCAUCUGAUGACGACGAAAGAUUUCAUCGGUGAGAGAUGGGGAUGCGUCUGAUUAGCUUGUUGGCGGGGUAACGGCCCACCAAGGCGACGAUCAGUAGGGGUUCUGAGAGGAAGGUCCCCCAGAUUGGAACUGAGACACGGUCCAAACUGCUACGGGAGGCAGCAGUGAGGAAGAUUGGUGAAUGGGCGUAAGCCUGAACCAGCCAAGUAGCGUGCAGGAGGACGGCGCUAUGGGUUGUAAACUGCUUUUAUGCGGGGAUAAAGUGAGGGACGUGUCCUUCAUUGCAGGUACCGCAUGAAUAAGGACCGGCUAAUUCCGUG
RNAcentral lists this ribosomal RNA (491 nucleotides) under uncultured bacterium. RNAcentral describes it as "partial 16S ribosomal RNA". It matches the Rfam family "Bacterial small subunit ribosomal RNA", at positions 28 to 507 of the family's 1533-position model. The record is from RNAcentral.